RNAcentral lists this ribosomal RNA (389 nucleotides) under uncultured bacterium. Its description in RNAcentral is "bacterial SSU rRNA". It matches the Rfam family "Bacterial small subunit ribosomal RNA", at positions 30 to 424 of the family's 1533-position model. The record is from RNAcentral.
AUUGAACGCUGGCGGAAUGCUUUACACAUGCAAGUCGAACGGUAGAGGGGGCAACCCCUUGAGAGUGGCGAACGGGUGAGUAAUAUAUCGGAACGUGCCCAGUCGUGGGGAUAACGUAGCGAAAGUUACGCUAAUACCGCAUACGAUCUAAGGAUGAAAGCGGGGGAUCGCAAGACCUCGCGCGAUUGGAGCGGCCGAUAUCAGAUUAGGUAGUUGGUGAGGUAAAGGCUCACCAAGCCAACGAUCUGUAGCUGGUCUGAGAGGACGACCAGCCACACUGGAACUGAGACACGGUCCAGACUCCUACGGGAGGCAGCAGUGGGGAAUUUUGGACAAUGGACGCAAGUCUGAUCCAGCAAUGCCGCGUGCAGGAUGAAGGCCUUCGGGUU